RNAcentral lists this ribosomal RNA (252 nucleotides) under uncultured bacterium. RNAcentral's name for it is "partial 16S ribosomal RNA". It matches the Rfam family "Bacterial small subunit ribosomal RNA", at positions 15 to 263 of the family's 1533-position model. The record is from RNAcentral.
GAUCCUGGCUCAGGACGAACGCUGGCGGCGUGCUUAACACAUGCAAGUCGAACGGACGAAGCCCCUUCGGGGGCCGAGUUAGUGGCGGACGGGUGAGUAACGCGUGAGCAACCUGCCCAUAAGAGGGGGAUAACAUCGGGAAACCGAUGCUAAUACCGCAUAAGACCACGAUAGCACAUGCUAAUGAGGUCAAAGGAGCAAUCCGCUUAUGGAGGGGCUCGCGUCCCAUUAGGUAGAUGGUGAGGUAACCGG